This 448-nucleotide ribosomal RNA is filed under the name uncultured bacterium. RNAcentral's name for it is "SSU rRNA". It matches the Rfam family "Bacterial small subunit ribosomal RNA", at positions 26 to 518 of the family's 1533-position model. The record is from RNAcentral.
AGAGCGAACGCUGGCGGCAGGUCUAACACAUGCAAGUCGAGCGCCCGUAGCAAUACGGGAGCGGCAGACGGGAUAGUAACACGUGGGAACGCGCCCUUCGGUUCGGAAUAACUCAGGGAAACUUGAGCUAAUACCGGAUACGCCCUUACGGGGAAAGAUUUAUUGCCGAAGGAACGGCCCGCGUCCGAUUAGCUAGUUGGUGAGGUAAUGGCUCACCAAGGCGACGAUCGGUAGCUGGUCUGAGAGGAUGACCAGCAUCACUGGGACUGAGACACGGCCCAGACUCCUACGGGAGGCAGCAGUGGGGAAUAUUGGACAAUGGGCGCAAGCCUGAUCCAGCCAUGCCGCGUGGAUGAUGAAGGCCUUAGGGUUGUAAAGUCCUUUUAACGGGGAAGAUAAUGACGGUACCCGUAGAAUAAGCCCCGGCUAACUUCGUGCCAGCAGCCGC